GCACGCAGAGCCAACUGGAGAAGGCAACGGUCUCACAUACCGUCAUCGCCGGGUUCGAUUCCCGGGGCGUGCA
Non-coding RNA from Myxococcus stipitatus DSM 14675, 73 nucleotides. NCBI's taxonomy places the organism in Bacteria, Pseudomonadati, Myxococcota, Myxococcia, Myxococcales, Myxococcaceae. The record is from Rfam.